This 541-nucleotide ribosomal RNA is filed under the name uncultured bacterium. Its description in RNAcentral is "bacterial SSU rRNA". It matches the Rfam family "Bacterial small subunit ribosomal RNA", at positions 355 to 896 of the family's 1533-position model. The record is from RNAcentral.
UAAGGAAUAUUGGUCAAUGGACGCAAGUCUGAACCAGCCAUGCCGCGUGGAGGAUGAAGGUCCUCUGGAUUGUAAACUUCUUUUAUUUGGGAAGAAACCCCCGAUUUCUAUUGGGGUUGACGGUACCAGAUGAAUAAGCACCGGCUAACUCCGUGCCAGCAGCCGCGGUAAUACGGAGGGUGCAAGCGUUAUCCGGAUUCACUGGGUUUAAAGGGUGCGUAGGCGGGUUGGUAAGUCCGUGGUGAAAUCUCCAAGCUUAACUUGGAAACUGCCGUGGAUACUAUCAAUCUUGAAUAUCGUGGAGGUGAGCGGAAUAUGUCAUGUAGCGGUGAAAUGCUUAGAUAUGACAUAGAACACCCAUUGCGAAGGCAGCUCGCUACACGGUUAUUGACGCUGAGGCACGAAAGCGUGGGGAUCAAACAGGAUUAGAUACCCUGGUAGUCCACGCCCUAAACGAUGAUUACUCGACAUCAGCGAUACACUGUUGGUGUCUGAGCGAAAGCAUUAAGUAAUCCACCUGGGAAGUACGACCGCAAGGUUG